Molecule: ribosomal RNA, 253 nt
Filed under: uncultured bacterium
Lineage: Bacteria
Description: partial 16S ribosomal RNA
Rfam family: Bacterial small subunit ribosomal RNA
Source: RNAcentral
UACAGAGGUCUCAAGCGUUGUCCGGAAUUAUUGGGCGUAAAGAGCUCGUAGGCGGUUCGUCGCGUCGGCUGUGAAAUCCCGAGGCUCAACCUCGGGUCUGCAGUCGAUACGGGCGGACUGGAGUUCGGCAGGGGAGACUGGAAUUCCUGGUGUAGCGGUGAAAUGCGCAGAUAUCAGGAGGAACACCGGUGGCGAAGGCGGGUCUCUGGGCCGAUACUGACGCUGAGGAGCGAAAGCGUGGGGAGCGAACAGG